RNAcentral lists this ribosomal RNA (774 nucleotides) under uncultured Neocallimastigales. Its description in RNAcentral is "partial large subunit ribosomal RNA". It matches the Rfam family "Eukaryotic large subunit ribosomal RNA", at positions 24 to 629 of the family's 3401-position model. The record is from RNAcentral. Lineage: Eukaryota; Fungi; Neocallimastigomycota; Neocallimastigomycetes; Neocallimastigales.
GUAGUCUCGCACAGAUGCAUAUCAAUAAGCGGAGGAAAAGAAACUAACAAGGAUUCCCCUAGUAACGGCGAGUGAAGCGGGAAGAGCUCAAAUUUGAAAUCUUAAAGGGUUUCCCUUUACGAAUUGUAGUUUAAAGAAGUGUUUUCUGUUGAGGUUUUGGUAAAAGUUCUUUGGAAUAGGACAUCAUAGAGGGUGAGAAUCCCGUAUUUGACCUUUACUUUCAACUUUGUGAUACACUUUCAAAGAGUCGGAUUGUUUGGGAAUGCAGUCCAAAAUGGGUGGUAAAUUUCAUCUAAAGCUAAAUAUUGGCGAGAGACCGAUAGCGAACAAGUACCGUGAGGGAAAGAUGAAAAGAACUUUGAAAAGAGAGUUAAACAGUACGUGAAAUUGUCAAAAGGGAAGCGUUUGACACCAGUGUUGUUUUUCUGAAAAUCAAUUAAAGAACUGUUUAUGCUAAGUUGUUUAGACUUUAUCAGCUAUCUGUUUAGUUUUGAGCUUUUCUUUAAUGCACUUUUCAGUUAACAAGUCAACAUCAAUUUCUUUUGCUGUAAAAAAGCUUGAGGAAGGUGGCUUGAGAUUCGUCUUAAGUGUUUAUAGCCUCUUGCCUAUGCAGUCGGAGAGAUUGAGGUCUGCAGCGUAGAUCCUUCGGGGCUAAAUGCAUUUGUGCUAAGUUAUAGCAUUUCAUAGACAACUUGUUGACUAUGAUUUGUCUUGUAGCUUACUCGCUUAUGUUAUUUUACCUACGCUUAGGAUGUUGACAGCAGUAUAGACUGU